Molecule: ribosomal RNA, 301 nt
Filed under: uncultured bacterium
Lineage: Bacteria
Description: partial 16S ribosomal RNA
Rfam family: Bacterial small subunit ribosomal RNA
Source: RNAcentral
CAGCAGCCGCGGGAAUACGUAGGUCCCGAGCGUUGUCCGGAUUUGUUGGGCGUAAAGCGAGCGCAGGCGGUUAGAUAAGUCUGAAGUUAAAGGCUGUGGCUUAACCAUAGUACGCUUUGGAAACUGUUCAACUUGAGUGCAGAAGGGGAGAGUGGAAUUCCAUGUGUAGCGGUGAAAUGCGUAGAUAUAUGGAGGAACACCGGUGGCGAAAGCGGCUCUCUGGUCUGUAACUGACGCUGAGGCUCGAAAGCGUGGGGAGCGAACAGGAUUAGAUACCCGCGUAGUCCCUGUCUCUUAUACA